GAUGAACGCUGGCGGCGUGCCUAAUACAUGCAAGUCGAGCGAACAGACGAGGAGCUUGCUCCUCUGACGUUAGCGGCGGACGGGUGAGUAACACGUGGAUAACCUACCUAUAAGACUGGGAUAACUUCGGGAAACCGGAGCUAUUACCGGAUAAUAUAUUGAACCGCAUGGUUCAAUAGUGAAAGACGGUUUUGCUGUCACUUAUAGAUGGAUCCGCGCCGCAUUAGCUAGUUGGUAAGGUAACGGCUUACCAAGGCAACGAUGCGUAGCCGACCUGAGAGGGUGAUCGGCCACACUGGAACUGAGACACGGUCCAGACUCCUACGGGAGGCAGCAGUAGGGAAUCUUUCGCAAUGGGCGAAAGCCUGACGGAGCAACGCCGCGUGAGUGAUGAAGGUCUUCGGAUCGUAAAACUCUGUUAUUAGGGAAGAACAAAUGUGUAAGUAACUAUGCACGUCUUGACGGUACCUAAUCAGAAAGCCACGGCUAACUACGUG
RNAcentral lists this ribosomal RNA (497 nucleotides) under uncultured bacterium. Its description in RNAcentral is "partial 16S ribosomal RNA". It matches the Rfam family "Bacterial small subunit ribosomal RNA", at positions 28 to 507 of the family's 1533-position model. The record is from RNAcentral.